This 245-nucleotide long non-coding RNA is filed under the name Chrysolophus pictus (golden pheasant). RNAcentral's name for it is "lncRNA (ENSCPIG00010000351.1)". The record is from RNAcentral. Lineage: Eukaryota; Metazoa; Chordata; Aves; Galliformes; Phasianidae.
GCCUUUGGAACUCAGAGGUGCGCAGACAUACCCGAUGCACUGGCCUAACUGCAACAGUUGUUUAACACAGAGUUUUGCCACCAAAAUCUGACAGCCAAGAAUAUGAAGCUGCUUCUGCUGCCCCGUGUGUGCUCGGUGACCUGAAGGCAAUCUAGCCAAGGCUCUCCUGAGCAGUUCCCAAGCCAUUCUUGCUCUCAUGCUUUGCUGCUCCAGGAAGAAAGGGCAAUUCUUGGAUCACCAUAGCC